ACGUAUGGAGCAAGCGUUAUCCGGAUUUACUGGGUGUAAAGGGAGUGUAGGUGGCCAGGCAAGUCAGAAGUGAAAGCCCGGGGCUCAACCCCGGGACUGCUUUUGAAACUGCAGGGCUAGAGUGCAGGAGGGGCAAGUGGAAUUCCUAGUGUAGCGGUGAAAUGCGUAGAUAUUAGGAGGAACACCGGUGGCGAAGGCGGCUUGCUGGACUGUAACUGACACUGAGGCUCGAAAGCGUGGGGAGCAAACAG
RNAcentral lists this ribosomal RNA (251 nucleotides) under uncultured bacterium. RNAcentral describes it as "partial 16S ribosomal RNA". It matches the Rfam family "Bacterial small subunit ribosomal RNA", at positions 525 to 775 of the family's 1533-position model. The record is from RNAcentral.